This 468-nucleotide ribosomal RNA is filed under the name uncultured bacterium. RNAcentral describes it as "partial 16S ribosomal RNA". It matches the Rfam family "Bacterial small subunit ribosomal RNA", at positions 28 to 507 of the family's 1533-position model. The record is from RNAcentral.
GACGAACGCUGGCGGCGUGCUUAACACAUGCAAGUCGAACGGAAAGGCCCUGCUUUUGUGGGGUGCUCGAGUGGCGAACGGGUGAGUAACACGUGAGUAACCUGCCCUUGACUUUGGGAUAACUUCAGGAAACUGGGGCUAAUACCGGCUAGGAGCUCCUGCUGCAUGGUGGGGGUUGGAAAGUUUCGGCGGUUGGGGAUGGACUCGCGGCUUAUCAGCUUGUUGGUGGGGUAGUGGCUUACCAAGGCUUUGACGGGUAGCCGGCCUGAGAGGGUGACCGGCCACAUUGGGACUGAGGUACGGCGCAGACUCCAACGGGAGGCAGCAGGGGGGAAUAUUGCACAAUGGGCGGAAGCCUGAUGCAGCAACGCCGCGUGCGGGAUGACGGCCUUCGGGUUGUAAACCGCUUUCGCCUGAGACGAAGCGUGAGUGACGGUAAUGGGUAAAGAAGCACCGGCUAACUACGUG